CCCAGCUUUUGAGAAAGCAAACGCCUCUUCGAUUUCUGAGAUCGACCCUCGUGGUCUCUGAGCAGCCCAGCUUUUGAGAAAGCAAACGCCUCUUCGAUUUCUGAAGCUUCGUCGAGUGCAGAUUUUUAUAGAGGCUAACAUUAAGUUCCAAAGCACACUUGAAUAUCCACCUGUAGAAGCUCCAUUCUUGCACAUCUAAGAACUUGAUUUGUCCGACCUCUUCUCUCUUCUACACCUUUGAAAAUG
Molecule: long non-coding RNA, 246 nt
Filed under: Malus domestica (apple)
Lineage: Eukaryota; Viridiplantae; Streptophyta; Magnoliopsida; Rosales; Rosaceae
Description: long non-coding RNA (MDOM_LNC007402)
Source: RNAcentral